GGUAUCAGACACUUGGUUAGGUGGUCAAGACAUUAUUUGGACACAGCAAUGACGUCCACGGUUCAAAUCUCAUUGCCGAUCUUUCUAAGAAAGUAAAGUUGACGAGGAUUUGAACCCUGGUCGUCGCGCUGUGGCCUUGAUGUUAUAGCUAUCAAACUAAGAGCCCGGACUCC
RNAcentral lists this microRNA precursor (173 nucleotides) under Amborella trichopoda. Its description in RNAcentral is "miR8584 stem-loop (atr-MIR8584)". Lineage: Eukaryota; Viridiplantae; Streptophyta; Magnoliopsida; Amborellales; Amborellaceae. The record is from miRBase by way of RNAcentral.